UCCGGUGUCGUUCAACGGCAGGACGGGCGGCUGUUAACCGCCUAAUCGGGGUUCGAAUCCCUGCACCGGAG
This 71-nucleotide transfer RNA is filed under the name Micromonospora pisi. Its description in RNAcentral is "Micromonospora sp. GUI15 tRNA". It matches the Rfam family "tRNA". Rfam says of the family: Transfer RNA (tRNA) molecules are approximately 80 nucleotides in length. Their secondary structure includes four short double-helical elements and three loops (D, anti-codon, and T loops). Further hydrogen bonds mediate the characteristic L-shaped molecular structure. tRNAs have two regions of fundamental functional importance: the anti-codon, which is responsible for specific mRNA codon recognition, and the 3' end, to which the tRNAs corresponding amino acid is attached (by aminoacyl-tRNA synthetases). tRNAs cope with the degeneracy of the genetic code in two manners: having more than one tRNA (with a specific anti-codon) for a particular amino acid; and 'wobble' base-pairing, i.e. permitting non-standard base-pairing at the 3rd anti-codon position. Lineage: Bacteria; Bacillati; Actinomycetota; Actinomycetes; Micromonosporales; Micromonosporaceae. The record is from Rfam by way of RNAcentral.